GCUGUGAUGACAAUCUUAGGACACCUUUG
Molecule: non-coding RNA, 29 nt
Filed under: Cricetulus griseus (Chinese hamster)
Lineage: Eukaryota; Metazoa; Chordata; Mammalia; Rodentia; Cricetidae
Source: RNAcentral